CCCCAGGGGCCGGGUGUGCUGGCCUGGGCUUCUCCGCGGUCUCCUCCGGAAACGCCCUUCGGGAUCCCGGGGUCCGGGCCGUGGCCAUCGCCUCCCGCGGCAGUGCAGGGUCUGCGCAACGGGCCGGAUUGGGGAGGCGGGAAGGAGACCCCGCCCGGAGGGACAGCCGCGGACCGGUGCGGCGCCCUUACCUGUCCCGCGCGGACACCGCGGGGCCCAGCCCCAGGGACUGCGCUUCACGUUUGUGGGGGCUGCGGGUCUCCGUGUGGACGCGAGCGCUAGAAGGGAACGGACCAGGCGCUCCCCGCGACCUCAGGCCAGCCCUGCGGACCCACCAGGGGCUGAGGAGGGGCUGAGUGUUCUCUGGAGACAGACUGAGAGGAAACCGAGAGAGACACAGAGUAGGACUUCCUGCCAGAACCCGUGCAUUUCUCUGGGGUGCAGUUUGGAGUUUGCUUGGCGUAAGAUGAAACAUCGGAAGAGGAGAUACUGGUGAACUGCUGAAUACUGAUGAGUUGCUGGGUUGCUUGAUAAAGUUUCUGCGCUAACUUGCACCCCAUCUUCAAGUCCCUGCAUCUUCACAGAACUGCCUCGUGUGAUCUGCAUCACAUCCUGGAAGAUGGGCCAGCGCGUGUACCACUCUCCCCUUUUACAGGUGCUGUGCUUGUUUGCAACUUGUCACCAACUCCUCGACAGCCUCACCCACUGCUAGAGACAAACACGCUCCCCCUUGUUCUCAGAAACAUCCCUAAUUAAUGUCCCCCCUUUGUUCCUGAGGAAGAAGAAAAGGCAGUGCCAGUUAGUGAACAAGGCUCCUCCUGGGAUCUUGAGGGAUUAAGCAGGGAAAUUAAGUAAUCAGGUGACAACGGAAAUAACCGAGUGUCGGGCAGCAGUGCCCAUUUGACCCAGCUUAUUACUGUUUGGAGACUGGUGCUUUUGGACAAUUGCCUGGCUGCGCCUACGCUUUCCGUGGGGAUUACAGGCCACGUUUGCUCUCCGUGUGUUCUUAAAAGCAUUUAGUGGGAACCUUCCUGUUCUUGCAGGUCAGUGGGAAAGGCGGCCUGACUGGGCUUCAGCGAGCAGCCUUACCUGCCAGUGCCCUAUUAUGGGCUGUGUGUUUCUCGGUUCUGUCCCUGCUGAAGGCAGUCUCGAGACAGUUAAUAAUUGUGUUUAAGAUCUGAUGUCUGG
This 1188-nucleotide long non-coding RNA is filed under the name Heterocephalus glaber (naked mole-rat). RNAcentral describes it as "lncRNA (ENSHGLG00100033005.1)". Lineage: Eukaryota; Metazoa; Chordata; Mammalia; Rodentia; Bathyergidae. The record is from RNAcentral.